RNAcentral lists this ribosomal RNA (253 nucleotides) under uncultured bacterium. RNAcentral describes it as "partial 16S ribosomal RNA". It matches the Rfam family "Bacterial small subunit ribosomal RNA", at positions 524 to 776 of the family's 1533-position model. The record is from RNAcentral.
UACAUGGGGUGCAACCGUUGCUCGGAAUUAUUGGGCGUAAAGCGCGCGUAGGCGGUUACUUAAGUCGGAUGUGAAAGCCCUCGGCUUAACUGAGGAAGUGCACCCGAAACUGAGUAGCUAGAGUACGAAAGAGGGUCGCGGAAUUCCCGGUGUAGAGGUGAAAUUCGUAGAUAUCGGGAGGAACACCGGUGGCGAAGGCGGGUCUCUGGGCCGUAACUGACGCUGAGGAGCGAAAGCGUGGGGAGCGAACAGG